CUUGAAAGACACAUUGGAAGCUCGCGUGAUGCUUUUACUAGUUUAUAGUUUCCAUGCCCUUUACUAUAUCUCCUAGUUUCAAUGCUCCUUUAUUUCUCCUAGUUUCAAUGCUCUAUCUUUAUUUCUUUGAUGAUAUAAGCCCAAUUUAUUGUAGAAGACAGAUGACUUUUGAUAAAUGAAAAACUUUGCUUGAAGCAAGUAUCGUGAACCUUGUAGACAGUUCAACCCUUGAAAACCUAGGAGAGUUUUCACUUCGUCCUUGAAGAGUCGGAGCUUUCGAAAUUUGCAUCCUUGAAGAGUUGCAGUCAUUGAUCUAGAAGAAUCGGUGCCCCCUCAACUUCGUUGGAGGCCUAGAAGAGCAACCAACGGAGUCUGUGUCUUUUCCUGUUCUGUUCGUUACUUCCAACCCAAUUUCGACUAUCCUACAAUGCUUAUUUCAGAAAACCCAAAACAGAGAAAUUGUAGAUCCAGAAGUCUUUGUUCAUUUGGUUUUGGAAUCAGGUCGAUCCGAUCUGUAUCGACAAAGAUACGACUGUUCUCCUGAGCUUGCGUAGUGUUUGUCCUGUUUCUUGUGUGCAAGUCACUCUCCCGAUCCUGCUGUUUGAGAAAGCCUACCCUAGGCUUGCAUCAUUUGGUAUCAGAGCUUGCUUUGGAGGAGAGGACAAUGCCUCCAAGACAAGCUAGGCGUCGUGGCGGCAGAACCGUUCCCCUCAAUGAAUUGCACACACUCGCUAAGAAUAUGCAACAACAAAUUGACGAAUUGACGCAAGAAGUUCAGCGUUUGAGGGCUGAAGCAAAUAAUUCUCCACCUUGUUCCAGGACUGAAGAUUCCCAUGGUGACUCUUCCUCUUCGGAGAGUGUUCAACCUAUUCACGAUCGGAGGCAUGUUCGACAUCGUUUACAACAUAUCCGUGAGCUAGAUUGGGAAAAGGAAGUCAAGAAAGAUGUUCCAGAAUUUACAGGUAAUGAAUCUCCCGAUGAAAUUGUUGAUUGGCUAACACUUGUGAAUGAGGUGUUUGAGCAUCGAAAUGUUCCGGAGAAUCGUCGAGUUGGGAUCAUUGCUAUGCGAUUCCGAGGCAAGGCGAUUGCUUGGUGGAGACGUGAAAAACAAAAUUUUUUCACACUCGCCAAGCCGUUGGCAAAGCACCAGUCACUUCGUGGAGAAAGAUGGAGGGCAAGAUUCAAAAAUAUUUUCUUCCCAAAGGAUAUAAGAGAGAGCUCUACCAACGGUACCAAAAUCUAAAACAAGGUACGCAAACGGUGGACCAAUACACCAAUGAAUUCAAUGAGUUGGUGAUUUGUAACAAUAUCCAAAAUCCAGAAGAGGUGCUUGUGAACAAAUACUUGAACGGUCUUCAAUUUUACAUUCAAGAUGCCUUGGAAGUUCUCGACAUUUGGGACUUAGGAGAUGCACACCAACGAGCACUCAAAAUGGAGCGCUCUCGUUUUCGGAGACAGCAAUUUGUUAGUAAGCUUUCUACUCAACCCCAUGUUUCGAAGCAACCUGCUACGUUCGAAAUAUGUUGCUAUUUUUGUGGGGAGUUGGGUCAUUGUGUUAGCAAUUGUCGAAUCAAUAAGAAUCGACCAGCCGGUAAAGCCUUUUUGGUGGAUGAUGAUUCUGAUGAGAAUGCUAAGAAUCCACUUGAAGAGGAGUUGAAAAAUGAUGAAGAAGCUGCGGAUGAUGAACAAAUAGUGCAUGCUGACAUUGGCGAGAAAUCUUUUCUUACUCCUCGAGACGACAUUGGAGAUAGGUGGCUGCGUACCAAUAUUUUUCAUUCUGCUUGCACAAUCAUGGGAAAUGUGUGUCAAUUAAUUAUUGACUCUAGUUGUUGUGAGAAUAUAAUUUCUGAAGUAGCGACAAACAAGCUGAAGUUGGAAUUAAAAACGCAUCCUACGCCUUAUAAAAUGUUGUGGUUGAAGAUAGGUGUUGAGGUAACUGUUUCAAAACGAUGCCUUGUUAAUCUGUCCUUAUAAAAUGUUGUGGUUGAAGAUAGGUGCUGAGGUAACUGUUUCAAAACGAUCCCUUGUUAAUCUGUCCAUUGGUUCUGUUUAUAAUGACAAGAUAUGGUGUGAUGUUCUACCGAUGGAUGCUAGUCACAUUAUUCGGUCGACCAUGGCAAUUCGAUAAGAGGACUAUGCAUGAUGGUUAUCGAAAUACAUAUUCUUUUGAAUUUGGAGGCACGAAGAUUACGUUGGCACCUAGUAGGGUGGGAGAUUCUUCUGAUGAUGAUGGCGAGAAUUUGAGGAUGAAUUCUUUUAAAGAUGGGGAAGAAUUCGAGGACGAAUUCUUUUAAAGAUGGGGAGGAUGAUGCAGCCCGCAUUAAAGACCAGCUCUCUCGACCAAAAAGAUCGGCCCGCAUUCAAGCUCAACGAAAUCGAGAAGCUGUAUCGACAUCUUGAGUCCAUCCCGAAAACUUGAAAGACACCUUGGAAGCUCGCGUGACGCUUUUACUAGUUUAUAGUUUUCAUGCCCUUUACUAUAUCUCCUAGUUUCAAUGCUCCUUUAUUUCUCCUAGUUUCAAUGCUCUAUCUUUAUUUCUUUGAUGAUAUAAGCCCAAUUUCUUGUAGAAGACAUAUGACUUUUGAUAAAUGAAAAACUUUGCUUGAAGCAAGUAUGGUGAACCUUGUAGAGUUCAACCCUUGAAAACCUAGAAGAGUUUUCACUCCGUCCUUGAAGAGUCGGAGCUUUCGAAAUCUGCAUCCUUGAAGAGUUGCAGUCAUCGAUCUAGAAGAAUCGGUGCCCC
This 2744-nucleotide long non-coding RNA is filed under the name Eucalyptus grandis. Its description in RNAcentral is "long non-coding RNA (EGRA_LNC006492)". The record is from RNAcentral. Lineage: Eukaryota; Viridiplantae; Streptophyta; Magnoliopsida; Myrtales; Myrtaceae.